RNAcentral lists this ribosomal RNA (620 nucleotides) under Bacillus licheniformis. RNAcentral describes it as "bacterial SSU rRNA". It matches the Rfam family "Bacterial small subunit ribosomal RNA", at positions 51 to 653 of the family's 1533-position model. The record is from RNAcentral. Lineage: Bacteria; Bacillati; Bacillota; Bacilli; Caryophanales; Bacillaceae.
AUACAUGCAGUCGAGCGGACCGACGGGAGCUUGCUCCCUUAGGUCAGCGGCGGACGGGUGAGUAACACGUGGGUAACCUGCCUGUAAGACUGGGAUAACUCCGGGAAACCGGGGCUAAUACCGGAUGCUUGAUUGAACCGCAUGGUUCAAUCAUAAAAGGUGGCUUUUAACUACCACUUGCAGAUGGACCCGCGGCGCAUUAACUAGUUGGUGAGGUAACGGCUCACCAAGGCGACCAUGCGUAACCGACCUGAGAGGGUGAUCGGCCACACUGGGACUGAAACACGGCCCAGACUCCUACGGGAGGCAGCAGUAGGGAAUCUUCCGCAAUGGACGAAAGUCUGACGGAACAACGCCCCGUGAGUGAUGAAGGUUUUCGGAUCGUAAAACUCUGUUGUUAGGGAAGAACAAGUACCGUUCGAAUAGGGCGGUACCUUGACGGUACCUAACCAGAAAGCCACGGCUAACUACGUGCCAGCAGCCGCGGUAAUACGUAAGUGGCAAGCGUUGUCCGGAAUUAUUGGGCGUAAAGCGCGCGCAAGCCGUUUCUUAAGUCUGAUGUGAAAGCCCCCGGCUCAACCGGGGAGGGUCAUUGGAAACUGGGGAACUUGAGUGCAGAA